This 1141-nucleotide ribosomal RNA is filed under the name marine metagenome. Its description in RNAcentral is "bacterial SSU rRNA". It matches the Rfam family "Archaeal small subunit ribosomal RNA", at positions 322 to 1467 of the family's 1478-position model. The record is from RNAcentral.
CCUACGGGGUGCAGCAGGCGCGAAACCUUUACAAUGUACGGAAGUGCGAUAAGGGAACUCUCAGUGCUCAUGCAAUGCAUGGGCUUUUGUUAACUGUAAAAAGGUUAGCGAAUAAGUGAUGGGUAAGACGGGUGCCAGCCGCCGCGGUAACACCUGCGUCACGAGUGGCAAUCACGUUUAUUGGGCCUAAAGCGUUCGUAGCCGGAUUAGUUAGUCUUGGGUGAAAUCGUUGCGCUUAACAAAACGACGUGCUUGAGAUACUGUUAGUCUAGAGACCGGGAGGCGUUAGAAGUAUUCCAGGGGGAGCGGUAAAAUGUUAUAAUCCCUGGAGGACUACCUGUGGCGAAGGCGUCUAACGAGAACGGGUCCGACGGUGAGGAACGAAAGCUAGGGGAGCAAACCGGAUUAGAUACCCGAGUAGUCCUAGCCGUAAACGCUGUGUACUAGAUGUUGCAUAUUCUACAUGGAUGUGCAGUAUCGGAGCGAAGGCGUUAAGUACACCGCCUGGGAAGUACGGUCGCAAGGCUGAAACUUAAAGGAAUUGGCGGGGGAGCACCACAAGGGGUGCGGCGUGCGGUUUAAUCUAACUUUACGCAGAGAAUCUCACCAGCAGCGACGGCAGAAUGAAGGUCAGAUUAAAUGUCUUACCCAACGAGCCGAGAGGUAGUGCAUGGCCGUCGUCAGCUCGUGCCGUAAGGUGUCCUCUUAAGUGAGGUAACGAGCGAGACCCAUACUUUUAAUUGCUAGCGGACUCUUUAGAGUGACCGAGCACAUUAAAGGGACUGCCCUGGAAACAGGGAGGAAGGUGUGGGCUACGGUAGGUCUGUAUGCUCCGAAUCUGCUGGGCUACACGCGCGCAACAAUGGCGAGGACAAUGGGCUGCCACACCGAAAGGUGAAGCCAAACCUCGAAACCUCGUCUUAGUUUAGAUUGAUGGCUGUAAUUCGCCCUCAUGACAACGGAAUCCCUAGUAAUCGGGUUUCAUCACGACCCGGUGAAUAUGUCCCUGCUCCUUGCACACACCGCCCGUCAAACCAACCGAGUUGGGUUUGGGUGAGAUGCAGCUUUCAGUUGUAUCGAAUCCAGAUUCGGUGAGGUGGGUUAAGUCGUCACAAGGUAGCCGUAGGGGAACCUACGGCUG